This 83-nucleotide small nuclear RNA is filed under the name Erinaceus europaeus (western European hedgehog). RNAcentral describes it as "U4 spliceosomal RNA". It matches the Rfam family "U4 spliceosomal RNA", at positions 1 to 83 of the family's 138-position model. Rfam says of the family: U4 small nuclear RNA (U4 snRNA) is a component of the major U2-dependent spliceosome. The structure of U4 snRNA from yeast and human has been reported. The record is from Rfam by way of RNAcentral. Lineage: Eukaryota; Metazoa; Chordata; Mammalia; Eulipotyphla; Erinaceidae.
AGCUUUGCGCAGUGGUAGCAUCAUAGCCAAUGAGGUUUAUCUGAGUUGCGAUUACUGCUAAAUGAAAACUUUUACCAAGACAA